RNAcentral lists this non-coding RNA (26 nucleotides) under Rattus norvegicus (Norway rat). The record is from RNAcentral. Lineage: Eukaryota; Metazoa; Chordata; Mammalia; Rodentia; Muridae.
GUCCUCAAACGGUUUGCACCAACUGG